GCCAGCGUAGAUCAGCAGGUAGAGCAACUGACUUGUAAUCAGUAGGUCACGGGUUCGAUUCCCAUCACUCACC
This 73-nucleotide transfer RNA is filed under the name Effusibacillus lacus. It matches the Rfam family "tRNA". From Rfam's summary of the family: Transfer RNA (tRNA) molecules are approximately 80 nucleotides in length. Their secondary structure includes four short double-helical elements and three loops (D, anti-codon, and T loops). Further hydrogen bonds mediate the characteristic L-shaped molecular structure. tRNAs have two regions of fundamental functional importance: the anti-codon, which is responsible for specific mRNA codon recognition, and the 3' end, to which the tRNAs corresponding amino acid is attached (by aminoacyl-tRNA synthetases). tRNAs cope with the degeneracy of the genetic code in two manners: having more than one tRNA (with a specific anti-codon) for a particular amino acid; and 'wobble' base-pairing, i.e. permitting non-standard base-pairing at the 3rd anti-codon position. Lineage: Bacteria; Bacillati; Bacillota; Bacilli; Caryophanales; Alicyclobacillaceae. The record is from Rfam by way of RNAcentral.